CGCGCCCGCGGGGUGGGAUUUCCUCCCGGGCCGCCGCCGCCGCCGGGUCCUGCCCGUCCUGCCGGCCCCGCCCGCCCGGCCCCGGGGAGGGAUGCGGCGGCGCGGCACCCAGGAUGCCCCGCAGCCCCGGGACGCGCCUCAAACCCGCCAAGUACAUCCCGGUGGCCACGGCGGCCGCGCUGCUGGUCGGCUCCAGCACCCUGUUCUUCGUAUUCACGUGCCCAUGGUUGACACGCGCCGUGUCCCCAGCCGUCCCCGUCUACAAUGGCAUCCUCUUCCUCUUUGUCCUGGCCAACUUCAGCAUGGCCACCUUCAUGGACCCUGGCGUCUUCCCCCGAGCGGAUGAGGACGAGGACAAGGAGGAUGACUUCCGGGCCCCGCUGUACAAGAACGUGGAUGUGCGGGGCAUCCAGGUCCGAAUGAAGUGGUGCGCCACCUGCCACUUCUACCGCCCGCCGCGGUGCUCCCACUGCAGCGUCUGCGACAACUGCGUGGAGGACUUCGACCACCACUGCCCCUGGGUCAACAACUGCAUCGGGCGCCGCAACUACCGCUAUUUCUUCCUGUUCCUGCUGUCGCUCAGCGCGCACAUGGUGGGCGUCGUCGCCUUCGGGCUGGUCUACGUGCUGAACCACGCGGAGGGGCUGGGCGCCGCCCACACCACCAUCACCAUGGCCGUCAUGUGUGUGGCUGGCCUCUUCUUCAUCCCCGUCGUCGGCCUCACGGGCUUCCACGUGGUGCUGGUCACUCGGGGCCGCACCACCAAUGAGCAGGUGACAGGGAAGUUCCGUGGGGGCGUGAACCCCUUCACCCGCGGCUGCUACGGGAACGUGGAGCAUGUGCUGUGCAGCCCCCUGGCGCCCCGGUAUGUGGUGGAGCCGCCCCGGCUGCCGCUGGCUGCUCGCCUGAAGCCGCCCUUCCUUCGGCCGGAGCUCCUGGAGCGAGCGCCACCGCUCAAGGUCAAGCUUAGUGACAAUGGGCUGAAGGCUGGCCUGGGCCGCAGCAAGUCCAAGGGCAGCCUGGACCGGCUGGAUGAGAAGCCCCUGGACCUGGGGCCACCACUGCCCCCUAAGGUGGAGGCCGGCACGUUUGGCAGCGACCUGCAGACCCCGCGCCCGGGCAGUGCUGAGAGCGCCCUGUCGGCGCAGAGGACCAGUCCCCCGACACCUGCCAUGUACAAGUUCCGGCCCGCCUUUCCCACGGGUCCCAAGGCGCCAUUCUGCGGGCCGGCUGAGCAGGUCACGGGCACCGACUCCCUGACACUGGGGGAGGACAGCAUCCACAGCCUGGACUUUGCAUCGGAGCCCAGCCUGGACCUGCCCGACUACCCGCCCCUCAGCGCGGCCGACACCUUCUCAGGCGCCCUGCGCUCCCUGAGCCUCAAGGCGGCCAGUCGGCGGGGCGGGGACCACGUGGCCCUGCAGCCCCUGCGCUCUGAGGGUGGGCCCCCCACGCCCCACCGCAGCCUCUUUGCCCCCCACGCGCUGCCCAACCGCAACGGCAGCCUGUCCUACGAUAGCCUGCUGAACCCCGGCUCCCCCGGGGGCCACGCCUGCCCGGCCCAUCCCACAGCCGGCGCCCCUGGCUACCGCUCACCCUACCUGCACGCGGGGGUGCCAGGUGACCCGCCACGGCCGCCGCCCCGCAGCUUCAGCCCGGUGCUGGGCCCGAGGCCGCGGGAGCCCUCGCCAGUGCGCUAUGACAACCUGUCCCGGACCAUCAUGGCCUCCAUCCAGGAGCGCAAGGACAGGGAGGAGCGGGAGCGGCUGCUGCGUUCUCAGGCCGACUCGCUCUUUGGCGACUCGGGUGUCUAUGACACACCCAGCUCCUACAGCCUGCAGCAGGCCGGCGUGCUGUCCGAGGGCCCCCGCGGCCCCGGGCUGCGCUGCGGCUCCCGGGAUGACCUGGUGGCCGGGCCCGGCUUUGGGGGCGCCCGCAACCCUGCGCUGCAGACAUCACUGUCCUCGCUGUCCAGUGCGGUGAGCCGGGCACCACGGACCUCCUCCUCCUCCCUGCAGGCAGACUUGGCCAGUAGCGGCGGCCCAGGGGCCCGGCCCGCCAGUGGCCCACACAGGUCGCCAGCGCACCAGGUGCCCCCAUCCCCACCUGGCACCCCCUGCUCGCCCUCCUAUGCUGGCCCCAAGGCCGUCGCCUUCAUCCACGCAGACCUCCCGGAACCACCGCCCUCGCUGGCUGUGCAGAGGGACCACCCUCAGCUGAAGACCCCCCCAAGUAAGCUUAAUGGGCAGUCCCCGGGUCUGACCCGCUUGGGGCCGGCCCCCGGCCCCCCGGGGCCCUCCGCCAGCCCCGCCCGGCACACGCUGGUUAAGAAGGUGUCCGGCGUGGGUGGGACCACAUACGAGAUCUCGGUGUGAGGACCGACUGCCCCCCCGUCGCCGAGCGCCAUGGGAACCACGACCCCCCGCGGCCACCCCUCCUGGCUUCUCUGCCCCUGGAGAGGAGGCCCAGGCCUGGCGCAGACGCCUCAGCGAGGAAAGCCACGCCUCUGCGGCCCGUCCCUCGUCCUCGGCCGCCCGUCCGCACCUGCUCACCAGGCGCCGCGGGGCUGCAGGCCUGCGUGGUGGUGGUCCUGCUCCCGUGAGCUGGGGCGGCGAGGGGCACAGAGCGCUCCUGUGCCCCUGAGGUUGUCACCCGUCCGGCCCUAACCGCUUCCCUUCCGCGCGGGUCCCCAUGGCCCAGAGACGGACAGAGAGGCCUGAGCCCCUGGCCAAGGGCCCUGCCACCCGGCUGCCCCGACCCCUUGCCUUUCAGGGACCUGCUGCAAGCUUGUAGCUUGGCACGGCCAGUUCUCCCGCAGGGAGCACGGGCCCAGCCCACAGGCACCCAGCUAUUCUGAUGGACAGGUGGACAAAUGGACAGACGGACAGACAGCCAGCUGUGGGUGGGGUCCUGGCUCCGUGUGUCUCGUCUCGCCCCCGCUGGUGGGCGCGUCCCCACGUCUGUGCUCUGAGCUGCCAUGCCGUGUCCCACGUGUCAACGCUCGGGCCCCUGCCGUCCCCCUCCCCCGUCCCGCCUGGAAACGCGCUUUAAUUGAAGCCUUAACCUCUGCUUUAUGCUCUUGUGGGAGGCGACGGGGUCUGGGGUAGCAGACAGGAGGCCUGACACCACCCCUCGGGGCCCAGGCCACCCCGUGCCCCCUCCCUGCAAACUGGAGACCCCCACCCAAGGCACGCAAAGCCCAGGCCCCGCUGGAGCCUGGGGCCCACGUGGGAAGCACAUCGGGAGGGCUCGGAGUUUCGUCUGGUGCCAGGGACCCGAGAGGGCUGGAUCGGCACCUGCAGCCGUGGAUGGGGGCGGCGCGGCCAGCCCUGGGCGCCCCCCAGCCUACACCUGUGCCACUUCGGCCUCCCAGAGGACCACCCGCCGCUGCGGGCCCCCUGGAGCCCAGCCCCAGGGGCG
Cervus elaphus (red deer) is the source of this 3420-nucleotide RNA transcript. It is a transcript of the gene named zinc finger DHHC-type palmitoyltransferase 8, with no coding region annotated. The transcript has 12 exons. The record is from RefSeq and is a predicted model, not a curated record. NCBI's taxonomy places the organism in Eukaryota, Metazoa, Chordata, Mammalia, Artiodactyla, Cervidae.